GCCAUUGCACUCCAGCCUGGGUAACAAGAGCGAAACUCCAUCUCAAAAAAAAAAAAAAACCGAGAAAUCUGAGAUUCAGAUUAGAUUACUCAUACAAAGCCAGGCAGCCAAUGCAAAGUGAAGCCUUAAUGAGCUGUCAGUGUUGUUACUCUAAUUCUCUCCACCGAGUUCCAUCGAGUAUCCUUGCAGCGCCGCCCUCAGGACUCCGAGCAGUUUCCGAGGCGUUGGAGUUGGGCUGGGGAUCCCGGGUCGCGAGACGCGCGGGCCCUUAAGCUGAAAAUGGCGGACGAAGGGAAGGAUACUUCAGUCAGGGUAGGGAGGAAGGGCACUCGGUGACCAGAAACCUUUUCCAGGACCAUAUUGUUAAAGCAAAUCUCAGCUCUUGUCUUCGGGAAACGAUGGAGACAGAAUCCAGAAGCCUGAGGAGCCUAGGAAUAUGAGCCCAAAGAAUGAAGGAAUGAGAAGAAGGGGAAAAAAAGUUACUUCUCGCAUUACUGGAAGCAACACAGGAGCAGACUAGGAAAAUCAAAAUAAUUCACAGAUCCUUUGAAAGAAACAGCUGGCCACUGCAAAUUCCGCAAGACAUGCAAAAAUCUCUGGCACUCUCUUGCAAACACCACCUCCUGGCUGGAGGCCAAUCACCAACUCAGGACAUUACAGCAACUCAUGGCAGAACAACCCUGCUCCAAGGAAGGAGAAAACAACAGCUAAUUCUACUACCUACAACAUCCUGGCUAACCAGUGGUCCUGAAUCUGUCUACAUGACAACUUUACUGCUAGCAGAAUCAGCAUCCAAGAAAGCCAACGCACUAAACAUAUCUACAACCAAGGACUCUGUCAGUCUACUUCACUUCCCUGCCACUUACACCAGAGCAGGUGCUGGUUCCAUGGCUGGUAGACCUGAAGAUGGAUCACAUCAUAGGACUCUUUGCAGACAUUCCUCAGCACCAGCCCAGAGCCUGGUAGCUCUGCUGGUUGGCUAGACCCAGAAGAGCAACAACAAUCGCUGCAGUCAGGCUUGCAGGAAGACCCAUCUGUAGGGGAAGGGAGAGUAUACUACAUCAAGAGACCAGCCCAUGGGAAAAAAGAAUCUGAACAGCAAUCAUUGAGUUCCAGACUUUUCCACUGAAAUAGACUACACAAAUGAGAAGGAAUCAGAAAAGUAACAUUGGUAAUAUGACAAAACAAGUUUCUGUAACACCGCCAAAAGACGACACUAGCUCUGCAACAGUGGAUCCUAACCAAGAAUAAAUCUCUGAAUUACCUGAUAAAAAAUUCAGAAUGUUGAUUAUUAAGCUUCUCAAAGAGAUAGCAGGGAAAGGUGAAAAGCAACAUAAAGAGAUUUAAAGACAAUAUAGGAUAUGGAUGAAAAAUGCUCCAGAGAAAAAGAAAACAAUCACAACUUCUGGAAAUGAAAGAUAUACUUAGAAAAAUACAAAAUGUACUGGAAAGUUUCAACAAUAGAAUCUAACAAGUAGAAGAAAGAACUUCAGAGCUUGGAGACAAGGCUUUUGAAUUAACCCAAUCAGACAAAGACAAACAAAAAUAAUCUUUAAAAAAGGCUAGAUGUGGUAGGUCAUGCCCAUAGUCCUAGUACUUUGGGAGGCUGAGACAGGCAGAUCACUUGAGCUUAGGAGUUCAAGACCAGCCUGGUCAACAUGGCAAAACUGUCUCUACUAAAAAUAUAAAACAUAGCUGGGUGUGGUGGCACAUGCCUGGAAUUCCAGCUACUCAGGUGGCUGAGGCAUGAGAAUUGCUUGAACCUGGGAGGCAGAUGUUGCAGUGAGCCAAGAUCAAAGCACUGCUCUAAAGCCUGGGUGAUAGAGUAAGACUCUGUCUUAAAAUAAAUAAAGCCUCCAAGAAAUUUGAAAUUAUGUUAAAUGGCCAAACCUAAGAACAAUUGGUAUUCUGAGGCAGAAGAAAAAUCUAAAAGUUUGGAAAAGAUCCUGGAUGAGGAGAGAUCCAAGAUGGCUGACCACUAGCAGCUCAGGCUUGUUGCUCCCAGUGAAAGCACAGAGAACAAGAGGACACCACACUUUCAGACGAAUCUUUCUUGCACAAGGACUAGGAGAUUCCCAGCAGAGGAGCCCUGCAGGUCGCCAGCAUGUCUCUUGCAGCCGGCUCUGCGGUUUUGCCGGUGCCCCAGCGCAGCAGUUCUUGGUGCAGAGUAAACGGGACUGGUUCCCCUUUUGGCUGAUGUUUGGAGCUGAUUGAAGAAGGGAUUCAGGAGGGAAGCCAGACGGGAGACUCCCAGACAGAAGAGCACCAAGAAUCUUGAUGCCGCUGUUUUAGCCAGCGCAGUGGGUUGCUCACAUUUCAACCCUGGGAAUUAACAAGUUGGACGUCCACUAAGAGACCUAAUUUAAAAGUUGGUAAUUACAAAGACGACAGGUGGAUAAAUUUACAACAAUGGUAAGAAACCAGCGUAAAAAGGCUGAGAAUACUCAAAAUCAGAAUGCCUCUCCCUCUAAAGAGGAUCACAGUUCCUCAUCAACAGGGGAACAAGGCCUGAUGGAAAAUGAGCGCAUUCCAAUAACAGAAUUAGGCUUCAGAAGAUGGAUAAUAAGAAACUUCUGUGAGUUAAAAGAACAUGUUCUAGCCCAAUGUAAAGAAACUAAGAACUUUGAAAAAAGAUUUGACAAAAUUCUAACGAGAAUAGACAAUUUAGAGAAGAAUAUAAGUGAAUUAAUGGAACUGAAGAAUGCUAUACGAGAACUCUGAGAAGUAUGCACACGUUUUAACACUCGAAUUGAUCAAGCAGAAGAAAGGAUAUCAGAGGUCGAAGACCAACUUAAUGAAAUGAAAUGAGAAGACAAGAUUAGAGAAGUAAAAGUAAAAAGGAAUGAGCAAAGCCUCCAGGAAAUAUGGGUCUAUGUGGAAAGACCUAAUUUACGUUUGAUAGGUGUACCUGAAUGUCAUGAAGAGAAUGAAUCCAAGCUGGAAAGUAUUCUUCAGGAUAUUAUUCAGGAAAACUUCCCUAACCUAGUAAGGUGGGACAAUACUCAUCUCCACAUAAUACAGAGAACACCACAAAGAUAUUCCUCAAGUAGAGCAACCCCAAGACACAUAAUUGUUAGAUUCACCAGGGUUGAAAUAAAAGAGAAAAUUCUAAGGGCAGCUAGAGAGAAAGGUCAGGUUACCCAUAAAGGGAAGCCUAUCAGACUUACAGCAGAUCUCUUAGCAGAAACCCUACAAGCUAGAAGAGAGUGGGGUUAAUAUUCAAUAUCCUCAAAGAAAAGAAUUUUCAACCCAGAAUCUCAUAUCCAGCCAAACUAAGCUUUAUAAAUGAAGGAAAAAUAAAAUUUUUCACGAACAAGCAAGCACUCAGAGAUUUCAUCACCACCAGGCCUGCUUUAUAAGAGCUUCUGAAAGAAGCACUACACACAGAAAGGAACAACCAGUAUCAGUCAUCCCAAAAACUUACCAAAAGAUAAAGAGUAUCUCCAUAAUGAAGUAUUUAUAUCAACUAAUGGGCAAAAUAGCCAGCCAGCAUUAAAUGACAAUAUUAAACUCACAAAUAUCAAUAUUAAUCCUGAAUUUAAAUGAAUUAGAUGCCCCAAUCAAAGACACAGACACAUAAACUGAAUUAAAAAGUCAAAACACAUCGGCACUCUGUAUCCAGAUCCAUCUCAUAAGCAAGGACAACAAAGACUCAAAACAAAAGGUUGGAGGAAGACUCACCAAUCAAAUGGAGAGGAAAGAAAAACAAAACAAACAAACAAAAAAAACAGGAGUUGUAACUUUCGUCUCUGACAAAAUAGACUACAAUAGUAACCAAGACUAAAAGAAACAAAGAAGGACAUUACAUAAUGAUAAAAAGAUCAAUGCAACAAUAGGAGUCAAUGAUCAUAAAUAUAUAUGUACCCAAUAUAGGGGCACCCAGAUAUAUAAGACAAGUUUUCAAUGACUUAUAAAGAGACUUGGACUCCCUUACUAAUAGUGGGAGACUUUGACACCACAUUGUUAAUAUUCGACAAAUCAAUUAGAUAGAAAAUUAACAGAGACAUUUAUGAUUUGAACUCAGACCUCGAACAAGUAAACUCAGUGAAUAUUUAUAGAAUUCUACACCCCAGGUCCACAGAACAUACAUUUUUUUGUAGUAUGACAUUACACCUAUUUUGAAAGUGACCACAUAAAUGGAAGCAAAUCACUCUUCAGCAUUUGCACAGCAUUUCACAGAUUUAAAUGAAAUAUUGGUUGGCUGUUUGUUAUUUUCUUUUCUUAUUCCUUCCUGUCUCUGCUGUUAAGCACAAUCAUCAGCAUAAAAGAGGUUUCUAAUACCUAUUUCUAGAUUGCAUUCCAGCCUGGGCAAUAGAGCAAGACUCCUGUUCUCUCUCCCCAUUUUCUCUUUCUCUUCCUUUCUUUAAAAAAAAAAAAAAGAUGCUGGAUGAAAUCAUCGAGGGAAACUUCCCUGGCCUUGCUAGAAAUCUAGACAUCAAAUACAAGAAGAUCAAUGAAAACCUGAGAAAUUUAUCACAAAAAGAUCAUCACCCAGGAACAUAGUGAUAAAGUUAUCUAAAGUCAAAACAAAAGAAAAAAUCUUAAGAACUGUGAGGCAAAAGUUUUGGGUAAGCUAUAAAGCAAAACCUAUCAGAUUAACAGCAAAUUUCUCAGUAGAAAUCCUACAAGCCAGAAAAGAUUGGAGUUUUAUGUUCAGCCUCUUCAAACAAAAUAAUUAACAACAAACAAACAAAGAAUGUUGUAUCCAGCAAAACUAAGCUUCAUAAAUGAAGGAGCAAUAAAGUCUUUUUUAGACAAAUAAAUGCUGAGAGUAUUUGCCACUACCAAGCCAACACUAUAGGAAAUGAUAAAAGGAGUUCUAAAUCUUGAAACAAACCUUAAAAUGCACCAAAAUAGAGCCUCCUUAAAGAUAAAUUUCACAGGGCCUAUAAAAUCAUAACACAAAGAAUAAAACAAAAAAAACAAGAUAUUCAGGCAACAACUAGCAUGAUGAAUAGAGUAGCACCUCUUAUCUCAAUACUAAUGUUAAAUGUAAAUGACCUAAAUGUUCCACUUAAAAGAUACAGAGUGGCAGAAUGGAUAGGAAUCUAUCAACUGCAUAUCUGCUGGCCUCAAGAAACUCACCUAACACAUAAGGAUUCACAUAAACUUAAGGUAAAUGGGUGGAAAAUGUUAUUCUAUGCAAAGGGACACCAAAAGAAAGCAGGAUUAUUAGCUAUUCUUAUAUUAGACAAAAGAGACUUUAAAGCAACAACAGUUAAAAAAGACAAAGAGGGACAUUAUAUGAUAAAAUAUUAGUCCAACAGGAAAAUAUCACAAUCCUAAAUAAAUGUGCACCUAACACUAAAGCUCCCAAAUUUAUAACAAUUACUGCCUGACCUAAGAAAUUAGAUAGAUGGCAACAUAAUAAAAAUGUGGGGAUUGAACACUCCACUGACAGCACUAGACAGGCCCUCAAGACAGAAAGUCAACAAAGAAACAAUGGGGCUUACACUAUAACCCAAAACAAAUGAACUUAGCCACUAUUUACAGAAUAUUCUCCCCAACAACUGCAAAAUAAACAUCUUUUCAUCAGCACAUGAAACAUUCUCCAAGAUAGAUGAUAUGAUAGGUUCCAAAACAAGUCUCAAUAAACUUAAGAAAAUCAAAAUUAUAUCAAUUAUCUUCUAAGACCACAGUUGAAUGACACUGGAAAUUAAUUCCAAAAGGAACCCUCAAAAUUAUACAAAUAUAUGAAAAAUAAAUAAUCUGAUCCUGAAUGAUCUUUGGGUAACAAUGAAAUCAAGAUGAAAAUUUAAAAAGUAUUUGAACUGAACAAGAAUAGUGACAGAGCACUAUUCUUGGGACACAGCAAAAGCACUGCUAAGAGGAAAGUUCAUAGUAAUAAAUGCUUACAUCAAAAAAUCUGAAAGAGCACAAAUAGACAAUCUAAGGUCACACCUCAAGGCGCUGGAGAAACAAGAACAAACCAAACCCAUACUCAGUAGAAGAAAAAAAAGUUCAGGCUGGGCAUGAUGGCUCACGCUUGUAAUCCCAACACUUUGGGAGGCCAAGGUAGGCGAAUCACAAGGUCAAGAGAUCGUGACCAUCCUGGCCAACAUGGUGAAACCCCAUCUUACUAAAAAAACAAAAAUAUUAGCUGGGCAUGGUGACAUGCGCCUGUAGUCCCAGCUACUCAGGAGGCUGAGCCAGGAGAAUUGCUUGAACCUGGGAGGCGGAGGUUGCAGUGAGCUGAGGUCAUGCCGCUAUACUCUAGCCUGGCACCUGGUGAUGGAAUGCGACUCUGUCUCAAAAAAAAAGAAAAAAAGGUUCAGCGCAGAACUAAAUAAAAUUAAACAAGAAAACAAAAAAAAAUACAAAAGAAAAAUGAAACAAAAGCUGGUUCUUUUAAAAGAUAAACAAAAUCAAUAGAUCAUUAGUGAGAUGAACCAAGAAAAGAAGAGAUAAGAUCAACAUAAGCUCAAUUAGAAAUGAAAUGGAAGACAUUAUAACAAAUAUCAUAGAAAUACAAAAGAUCAUUCAAGUCUGCUGUGAACACCUUUACAUGCACAACCUAGAAAAUCUAAGGAGAUGGAUAUAUUACUGGAAAUAUAUCACCCUCUUAGAUUAAAUUAGGUGGAAAUAGAAACUCUGACAGACCAAUAACAAGUAGCGAGAUUGAAACAGUAAUAAAAAAAAUUGCUAACAAAAAGUUUCAGGAUGAGAUGGAUUCACAGCUGAAUUCUAUGAGGCAUUCAAGGAAGAAUUGGUACCAGUAUUACUGAAACUAUUGCAAAAGAUAGAAAAAGCGAAUCCUCCUUUAAUCAUUUUAUGAAGCCAGUAUCACCCUAAUUCCAAAAUCAGGAAAUGGCAUAACAGAAAGAGAAAACUACAAACCAACAUCCCUGAUGAACAUAGAUGUAAAAAUCCUCAACAAAAUACUAGCUAACUGAAUCCAACAGCAUAUCAAAAAAUAAUCCACCAUGAUCAAGUGGGUUUCAUACCAGGGAUGCAGGACUGGAUUAACAAAAAUAAGUCAAUAAAUGUGAAACAUCACAUAAACAGAAUUAAAGACAAAUCAUAUGAUUAUCAUAAUAGAUGCAGAAAAAGCAUUUGACAAAAUCCAGCAUCCCUGUGUGAUUAAAAUCCUCAGCAAAAUUGGCAUAGACGGGAUAUGCAUCUUGGUAAUAAAAGCCAUCUAUUGCAAACCCACAGCCAACAUUUGACUGAAUGGAGAAAACUUUAAGGCAUUCCACCUGAGAACUGGAACAAGACAAGGAUGCCUACUUUUACCACUUCUAUUCAAAUAGUACUGAAAGUCCUUGCCAGAGAAAUCAGACAAGAGAAAGAAAUAAAGGGCAUCCAGACCAGUAAAGAAAAAGUCAAACUGUCACUGUUUGCCAAUAAUUUGAUCAUAUACCUAGGAAACCCUAAAGACUCAUUCAAAAAGCUUCAAGAUCUGAUAAAUGAAUUCAGUAAAGUUUCAGAAUACAAAAUUAAUGCACACAAAUUAGUAGCACUGCUAUAUACCAACAACUACCAACCUGAGAAUAGAAUCAGAAACUCAGCCCAUUUUACAACAGUUGCAAAAAAAAUAAAAUACUAAGAAAAAAACCAAGGAGGUGAAAGAUCCAUACAAAAACAACUACAAAACAUUGAUGAAAGAAAUCACAGAUGAUACCAAGAAAUAGACACACUGAAUGCUCAUGAUUGGGUAGAAUCAACAUUGUGAAAAUGGCCAUACUGACAAAAGCCAUCUACAAAGUCAAUGCUAUUCCCAUCUAAAUAUCAUCACCAUUCUUUAUAGAACUAGAAAAAAACAUUCUAAAAUUUGUAUGGAACCAAAGAAGACCCCACAUAGCCAAAGUAAGACAAAGCAAAAAGAACAAAUUUGGAGGCAUCACAUUACUCAACUUCAAACUAUACCACAGGGCUUUGGUUACCAAAACAGCAUGUUACUGGUAAAAAUAUAGGCACAUAGAACAAUGGAGCAGAAUAGUAAACCCAGAAAUAAAGCCAAAUACCAACAACCAACUGACUUUCAAGAAAGCAAACAAAAGCAUAACAUGAGGAAAUCACACCCUAUUUAACAAAUAGUGCUGGAAUAAUUGGCAACCCACAUGUAGAAGAAUGAAACCUUACCUUAUAUGAAAAUCAACUCAAGAUGGAUCAAAGACUUCAAUCUAAGACCUGAAACUGCAAAAAUUACGGAAGAUAACAUUGGAAAAACUCUUCUAGACAUUGAUUUAGGCAAAGAGUUCAUGACCAAGAAUCCAAAACUAAGAGCAACAAAAACAAAGAUAAGUAGAUCAGACAUAAUUAAAUUAAAAAGCUUCUGCACAGCAAAAAAAAAAAAAAAAAAAAAAAAAAUAGAAGAAUAAACAGACAACCCACAAAGUAGGAGAAUAUUGUCUCAAUCUGUGCACCUGACAAAAGACUAAUAUCCAGAAUCUACAAGGAACUCAAAUAAAUCAGCAAGAAAAAAAAUAAUAACCCCAUCAAAGAAUCAAAGAGUGGGCAAAGGACAUGAAUAAACAAUUAUUAAAAGAAGAUAUACAAAUGGUCAACAAACAAAUGAAAAAGGGCUCAACAUCACUAAUUUUCAGGGAAAUGCAAAUUAAAACCACAGUGAACUGCCACCUUACUCCUAUCAGACUGGCCAUAAUUAAAAAAUAAUAAUAAAAUAGUGGAUAUUGACAUGAGUUUGGUGAAAAGGGAGCACUCCUACACUGCUUGUGGGAAUGUAAAACUAGUAUAACCACUAUGGGAAACAGUAUGAAGAUUCCUGUAGAACAACCAUUUGACCCAACAGCCCUGCUACUGGUUAUCUAUGAAGAGGAAUAAAGGGCAUUAUAUGCAAAGGACAUUUGCAUGCAUGUUUAUGGCAGCACAAUUCACAAUUCACAAUUGCAAAAACAUGGAACCAGCCUAAAUGCUCAUCAACCAACAAGUGAAUAAAGUAAAUAUGGUAUGUAAGUAUACACACACACACACACACAUAUAUGUAUGCAUACAUAUAUAUGUAUAUAUAUACACAUAUAUAUGUCACCCCAUUUGUGUGACUGACACCCUUUUCCUUUUGAUACCCUUUACUUCCUUUACUUCCCUUUGAGGCCCUCAGUAACAGUUAAGAUUUUAUGGUUGCAAGCAUUAGAAAAGACUCUAAUUUAAAUAAAAAACAAUUGUUUGGAAUAUAAAUAUACAUGAGAACAUAAGGGAGUGAUAUAAGAAACCUUCAUUAGAAAGAUAUGAAAAACCGACAAAGCAUGAGGGAUGCUUGCUGAACAAACAUGGGAAGAACAGGUACAGGGAGAGCCUCAGUGAUCCAUGUAUCAGGAACUAAUAAAUAGAUAUUUUAGGGAAUGGCUGAUUGCUGGGAUGAGGCAGUUUCUAUUCUUCAUCAGCCUUUUGUAAUUCUGGGAAAAAGAUCUGAUUGGCCUAGAUUGGAUCACAUGUUCCCUAUUGGCCAGGGAAAGGCAGAAAACCUUGACUGACAAACGGAAUCAAUCAGUUAUUGCAGUGUAACAAACCACUCCAAAACUCAAUGGCUUUAAAUCAUGCUAAUUUAUUUCCCACCUGCAGUUUGGCUGGUGAACUGUUGUUGUAAGCUGGGCCCAGGUGUGUGGCUCUGCUUAAGGAUGUGGGGCAGAUGGGAAAGGUGUGCUAUCCAUACACAUUCCUUCUGGGUCCCAGGCAGCAUCGUGGUGGCUACAUGGGAGAGGCUUUUCCUAUGGAAAAGUAUAAGAGUGGAAGCACAUUUGAAGCCUCUGCUUGCAUCACGCCUCUUGGUACCCCACCGGCCAAAAUACACUGCUUUUUGUGGGAAUGAUGGCAGAAUCAGCUGAUAAAGGAAAUAGAUGGAAGAACAUGUGAAGAAAGGAAGACAAUAAUUAAAGUGGGGCAAUUAUGCAAGAAUCAGAUAAAUAAUUACCCCCCAAAAAAUCACAUAUAUAUAUUUUUUAACAUGAAAAGGAUUCUUGGUGGUAAAGAAAUGAGGUCAACAAAUGCCCAGAUCCUGAAAGGCCUUGUUCUCACCUGGCUCUUAUGAACGGCAACUUUAGGUGGUUCCUCUCAUGGCACUUUCAUAUACCAAUAAAACACCAAGAGCCAUGAAUAUAAUCUUCAUGGAAAGGAUGUGACAAGUAUCUUUAAGGUAAAAGUAGACCUGGUCAGAUCAGAGCUAUAUAAUAUAGCUAUAUAAAAUAUAUAUCACAGUUACGUCAAAGUAAUGCAUCUAUUUUUAGGAGUAGCCCUGAAAAUGAUUGUGAUUACAGUAUAUUAAGACAGAAAAAUCAUAUAGGAGGAGGGAUUGUUGCUGUUACUUGCUGUACGAUAAUCCUUGACCAUCCAAGCAACUGAUAAACUAGUCCAGAGCAACAAGUUCAUAAACUAGUCCAGAGCAACAAGCAAUAUGUGUCUUUAUUUGAGGUUUACGAAAUACAAUCAUGUCAAGAAAGGACAGAGUUCUCUGGCUCUCUCUGUUGCUCAGUUCAGCACUAGCCAUUUCUGAAGCAUUAUUCUAGUGGAUAGCAGUGAGUGUUCCUGUUUUAUAAUACACCCUGCCUGCGAAAUACUGAUGAAACAUGAAGGACAUGCUAAUUUAGCAAAUCAAAAGGUCUCCUGAUGCUGGUACUUAAACCUAGACUGGGGUGGCUAAAUAAAACCAUAUAUUCAGAUUCUAGGGCUUUAUUUGUGAGGGUUCUCAUUAAGUAUGUCUUUGUUGAAGCCCUACUUUCUAUUUCUGUUGUGAAACUCCAGAGUGUUCAAGAGAGUCUAAGGUUUAUGCAGGUUUAGAAUCUACCUAGUCUGGUGCUUUAUCUGACAUGAACAAAAGGACACCCAGAGUGAAUGAUGGUGUAGCUUUCUUCCCAGUGUCACACAGCGGGUUUGCCUUGAGUCAGAACUUAGACUAGGACCUGAUCUCCUGUCUCUCAGCCCAGUGCGUAUUUCCCUACACCCUACUGUCUCCUUCAUGUGAAUACACAGAGGUAUCAUGCUGAUCUCAAUUUCUGGAGUAUGAACAUCAUCCCUUCCACAUUUAGGAACCUUAAUUCUCUUCACCCUAAAGCACAUAUAGCUUCAGAUAUGUUUGCAUAUUUAUAUCAAUCUAAUUGCUCAAGAGUCAAUCUAGUCAAUUAGCCUUUGGUUACUGAAAGAGUGAUUUAAAACUAUUUUUAAAUGAAACCUGUGAAUCCUUUGCCAUAUAGGCAGAAAGUAAGAAGUCAACAGGCACUAUGAUGACAGAGACAGCAGCAGGUCCAGGGAAAAAAGACUUACGGAGUGAAAUCAUCAACCUUCAAGGGAAUGUGAAUUGAAAGCCAAGACUGUUAGUAAAAAGAAAAACAUAUAAAGUAGAGGAAAGAAGAACAGAGGGGCAUGGGCAUGAGGUGGGAGUGCAGAGGGCUUGAAUUGGCUUAGACAGCCCAUCUCUCAGCAGGUCAGCACUCACAGGUUGGCACACAGGAUAAGAUAGGGUGAGAGACAGCCACCGAAAAGAAAGAAAAUGCUCUUUGGGAAGGGAAGAUAUGCUUAAAAUUAAACACAGGGGAGGAAAAGUGUGUUUAGAGUUUUCUGAGAUGAGAUUCAAGGCUGAAGUCAUAGUUUGGCAGAUAAACCAAAGAAAUUUGGUUUCCCUUGGAAAGAUUUAUGUCUUCUAGGGUUGAGAAAUAUGUCUGGCUGCCAAUAUUUCAUAGAGCAACACAGAAAGAAAUACUACCUACUUUAGUGUUUGGCUUGGGACUUUUCACCUUUGUUUGGCAAGAUAUUUUUCAUUUUGAAAGAGGGAGUGAGAACUAUUCAUGUCAGCUCCCUAUGAAGAUCUCAAAUCUCUUUGCCUAAGUUAUCUAAUGGUUCAUAAUGUUUAACUUACCUAUAUAUAAAUAUUUUAAAUGGUAGAUUAAAUUAACAGAACCUGUAAAACUCAUAACCUUUCUGUUCCAAAAUUCUUUGAGAUAACAUUGCCAUCAAACAGAACUGAAAGAAAUGUAAUGAAGCCCUUUGGGAAUUUCAUGUAGUAGUUGGAAACCACAAAAUGUAGGUCCAGUUCUGCCAUUUGCUAUUUUUAUGACCUUGAGGAGUUACUCAACCUCAUUGUGCCACCGAUUUCUUAUCUAUUAUGUGGAGUUUAUGAAAGAAUUUACUUCACGGAGUUGUGGAGAGUAUUGAAUGACUUAAGCUCUUAGGACAAUGCUUGGCACUCAAAAAGGAUUAAUUGUUAUUACCACAUUUUUUUGGAAUUUCUGAGAUAUCUCAAUUUCAACUAUUUUUUUUUUUUUUUUUUUUUUGAGAUGGAGUUUCGCUCUUGUUGCCCAGGCUGGAGUGCAAUGGUGUGAUCUCGGCUCACUGCAACCUCCGCCUCCUGGGUUCAAGCAAUUCUCCUGCCUCAGCCUCCUUAGUAGCUACUACAGGCAUGCACCACCAUGCCCAGCUAAUUUUUGUAUUUUAGUAGAAACGGGUUUCAUCAUGUUGACCAGGAUGGUCUCGAUCUCUUGACCUUGUGAUCCACCCACCUCGGCCUCCCAAAGUACUGGGAUUACAGGCAUGAGCUACUGCGCCCGGCCAAUUUCAACUAUUCUUUAUUACUAUAGUCAUAUUAUCAUGAGAAUACUCUAAAAUGACAACUAGCUACAUUUUUGUAUUAUCUUUUCUACGUGGAAGUGGCAGCAAAGUUUUUCUUUUAUUUUUAAAUCAGGUUAUGUGUCUUUAUUUGAGGUUUACGAAAUACAAUCAUGUCAAGAAAGGACAGAGUUCAGCCAAUGUUCCUGAGUGCUGUGAGAGAUGGGAAGCAAUGGAGAGGAAAAUUUCUUCCAGUCUUCUCCAGCUCCAAACCAUGUCAGCCACACUGUUGUAACUGCUAUGAAUUAUCACCGGCGCUUACCAACUCAGAGUUUCAUGUCCCUGUUUUCCUAUUCAGAGAGACAUUUUCUCCAGGCAUAGUCAUCCAAAUACACUGGCCAUAAUCUCCCCCAUAACUUGUUUGCCAGUAUAUCUUCCCUUCUCCUUCUGCCUUUCUCUCCUGUCCUUUCCCAGGCCUUCUCCCUCUUCCUUUUUGCCAAUGUCUCACCUUUCCUCCCUCCCUCCUUUCCUACUUCUUAAAGUCUUUGUGUCUCUACUGUCCUCCAGGCACUAUGUUGUUCUGUUCUCAAUUCCCCAACCUUAACCUAUAUCCAAGUAUUAUCUAGACAGAUGCUGAUUUCUUUGCUUUUCCUUCUGCCUUCUCUUUAUCUUCCUUUGUGCCUUCAGUGUCCUGUCACCCAUCUCUUCUGCUUUGUUCUGCUUCUAGCUCUUUCUCAACCAUCUUUACUAUUACAUAGAGCACAUGGAAUAAUGGAAAUGUAGUCAAUAGAUGGAGCUUGAACUAUAGGUAGGCAAUCUAGGCUCUCCUCCUGGUUCUUUUAUUUGCUGUCUAAGUGACCAUAAAUAAGGCACUUAAUCCAGCAAAGUUUGCAUCUCCACCUAUGUACACCAUGUGCUCUGAGUGCUCAUGCUCAUAUGAGGCAGUAUAAAUCAGGCAGCAAGUUUAACUUCUGUAAAUUCCUACUUACUUAAUGACACUAUUGCCACCUUCUCCCUGGCAGUCUACAUAUCCUACUCGUUUUCAGCCUAUAAAUGUCAUAGCUUUUACUUUCAACUAUGUAAUCCUUCCUGUUGGUCAUUAUUUCACCCCUGAUCCUUUUCUCCCAACCUCAACUCCUCCUUCUUCCUUUAUAUGCUGUUUACACCAAUAAUUCUAAAUCACUCAGAGUUUGCCACAUGUGACAGGCUGCUUCUCAUCCCGUGACCUCUCCUGAGCUGUUCUUGAUGCCUUGCAUCUUUCUGGUAAACAUUUAUUACACCUCAAAACUUAGCUAUUCUUUAUUAUGUAAAAUCCUCUCUGUGAGAGGCAUCUAUUUCUAUAAUUUUCAUUUUUCAUUCAAAAUUGUUCAUGUUCAUAUCUGUCACUCCUAUUACACUUUGACCUUCUUGGAAGAGGCCUUGGCAACCUCACAUCCUAGGAAAGUGCUGGCACAUUCUUUCUAUGUCUCAAAAGCAAUUGUUGAAUUGAACUCUCUCCUUUUUUAAUUAUGUGAAUGUAGACUUACACUAAUUUUGCAAUUCUACAACUUGGAUUCAAGCUCCAGUCAUCUAUGGAUUUUGGAUAUCUGACCUUGACAAUGUCAUGUAAGCUCUAAGAGAGUCAGUUUUCUUACAUAUAUAUGGGGGGCAAUGACAACUUCUGUUUAUUGAAUGAUCACUAUUUGUCAGAGUUGCAUAUUUGCCUAUUUAUCUUUUCACAUUUAAUUUUUACAUCUACCCUAUGAUGUACCUAUUAUUAUUCCCGUUUUACAAAUGUGAAACCCAGGGCUAGAAACUCAAAAACUAAAAUAGCCUCAGAACUGGAAUCCUUGCCUCCACUCUCACUGUUCAUCAAUCUACUUUGUUGGAAUAUUAAUGGUGAUCUUCUAAAAUCAUCAAUACUGUCAUACCCUUUGCAACCCCCACCCCUGCAGUGGUUUAACUGCAUAGAGAAAAAUCUAAUCUAAAUGUCCUCUUAUGUCUUAUAAGCCCCACAGGAUCUAUCCACUAAUUACCUCUUUGAAUUUAUCACACACUCUGUUCCCCUUCUUUCCCAGCACUCAGGGGCAUUAGCUGAAUUGCUUUUCCUGGCCCAGGUAAGCACUUCCCUGCCACAGGACAUUUGCAUUUUCAGUUUUUUUCUUCUGGGAGCAUUCUUCCAAUCGAUCUUUCAUGGCUGGCCCCAUCUUCUCAUCUAUCUUAGCUCAAAUGCUGCCUCCUUAGCUUUUCCUGAAACCCCAUCCCAUUUAGCCAGGCUUUAUUACUCUUUUUCAUAGCCAUAUUUGAUUUUUGAGAGCCCUUAUCAAUCUAAAAUCAUCAUUUACUUAUUUAUUGCCUGUCUUCUAUAUUCUCAGUGCACAGCAUAGCAGAUUCAACACAUCUUUGUUAAAGGAAUGGACUGUCCAGAGUAAGUUCAGAUAAGAGGAUGGAACAGUAUUUGAACCCAAGACUGUCUGACUCUAAAGUCCAUGUGCUUAACCACUGCAUUCAUUCCCUGCCUCAGCCAUUAAAAUACUGAAAAGAAACAGUAGGCUAACAUGAGGGCAUGGUUUGUAAACUCCAAGGGUUAUAUCAGUGUGAACGUGCAGUUUUGGCACUCUCUCCUCUGCUGGAUGCCAUGUGCUCUCAGAGUGACAAUGUCCUCUGCUGGAUGCCACAUGCUCUCAGAGUGACAAUGUCCUCUGCUGGAUGCCACAUGCUCUCAGAGUGACAAUGUUAGGGAAAAAAGGAUGUUGUCUACAAUAAAUUCUUCAGCUGACAUUCCUUUAAGACUAUGGUGACAUCUGUGAGAAGCUCUUCUCUUUUCUUCCCAUAUUAGACUAGACCCUUGCCAAUCCUACCUUGCCUUCUACACUCUUUACCUUGCCUUUCUUGCUGCCAUUAAAGAAAGAUAUACUGAAAAUCUCCCAUUUAUUCUUAAUUAGCUGACUUAACACACUCUAUUUUUAUGGCGAUUUUAGGCCUCUGUUUAAUUCCUAACUAUGCCUCCACAGGACUUGCAGUAACAAAAUCCAAAUUAUUUCUAGAAUUAACUAACUUCCAUUAUAGAUUGGAAAUAAAACUGAGGUAGGUUUGUUCACCUGAAAUCAACACUUAAAUCAUACAGCCAGUUAACAGCAAAGUGAAAACUUGUGUCCUCCAAUGCUUGUUUUCUAAAAUUUGUUGACUUAAUUUUUUUUAAUUGUUGAUAGAGUAUCAUUAUAUAAAUUUCCAAUGUGAUUAUGCUUUAGUGCAAAAAACUCUUUACAUCCAACCCAAAGUGAAUGUUUAUUCUAUGGUGUACAAAUAAGGUAGUAACCGCUAUAUUUUAUCUUUGUAUUAGUAAAGCCCCCAAACUUCAAAGGCAAAUAAUUUGUUUCAAUAUCACUGGCAUAAAUUAAUUUCCCAUGCACUGCAUUCCUUUGAACUCUUAAUCUACAAUCAGCAUCAUUUUAGGAUUUGCUAAGAUCAAAAGUCUGUCUAGAACAAUUAGCUUGAUUUAGUCAUUCUCCAAUGUAUGUACAUAUACCAAAACCUCAUGUUGUUAUAUAUUAUACAGUAAAUAUAUACAAUAUUAAUUUGUCAACUGAAAAUAAAUAAACAGAAGUCUCUAGAACCACCCAAUAUGUAGAUAUUUGAAGAAUUCUGUUGUUUUUCCAAGUAAAACAUAGAGUAUAUAUCUGAAACCUAGUAAUUGCAAAAGUUACGUUUUGUUUAUUUUUAAAUUGUAAAUAUGUAUUUUGGAAGUAGGCUGCAGCUUCUUUAUGCUUGAUUAUUUUGAAUCUGCCCCGCUGGUGUCUCAUCAUGCAAGGAUGAAAAACUGAAAUGAAGAUGAUAUAGCUAAUGCACAGAGUAUUAUUCUUUAGGGAUACAAUUGUCUUAGCAAUUAGAUCAUAGAAAUUAAAAUACGAUUUGUGAUGUUUUCCUGAAUGCCUAAAUCAUUUUUUCUUGUUGUUGUUCAAAGAAAACAAGUUCUUAGUCAUACAACAAAUAGAAUGAGUGGUGGGAACUGAAAAGGAGGAAGGCACAAUUGCCUGGUCUUCUAUGUCUCUUUUCAAGAUGGUUUUCCUGGUGCUGGUAUACAUAUCAGCCUACAUAUACACACCGUACUUUCCACAAGUACUCAAGUUUUAAGCUUCUCUAAACUGCUUCCUUACAAUAAAUUUUUUAAAACUCCCCCUCUCCAUCAUUUUUAGUCAAAGAAAACAGUUUCUUCCCUCUAUAGAAAGUAGAUUCUAAAGUUGGAGUUGUAGAUCAUUGCUAUUACCAACACAUAAUGCCAUUUGGAGCACAUUAACCCUAGAAGUUUUCCAAGUUUACAGUGUCUACUUGAAUUUUUUCAGUGAAUAUUUGUCAUUUCAUUCAAGAGAAGGCCUAUCGGUAGUCAUUUAGUCAAAACUACCGCAGUGAUUGCUACUUGUACAGAAAAUUAUAAAGCUGCCACAGGAGUCAAGCCACGAUUACCAAGUUGAAAUAGGCACUGCUUUUUGUUAAGUAUUGGGUAAGAAUGAAGCCUUAAAUUUGGAGGAAACUGAAGAUCAUUCUUUGGUCAGAACCACAUUUUCCAGUUUUCAUUUUCUCUGUUUUAUUUACACAAAAAUACAUGAUGAAAUUUCAUAGAAAGCACCUAUGAAGAACACCCACAUUAUGAUUCUUGCAUUCUAAUAAAAGUCUUAUUCUAGCUUUGGGGCCCCGAAAAUGUCUUUUUGUAAACAUUUGAAAAGCAUAAAAAAGAAUAUUGAAAAACAUUAACUGUGAUUUUUUAUGCCUCAUCAUGAUUUCACAUAUGUCAACUAUCCAAUGAAAACAAUAUAUUGAGAUGAUUGUGACAUAUUCAAUCCUACUACGUUCACCAGAGCUUAUUGGGAGGCAAGUUAGCAUGGAAAUAACUGCUUUGUUGGAGAGAAAGCCUUGUUUCAAGUUUAAAACUCUAUAAAUUAAGCUUUUAUUUAUACAAUUCUGUCUUACUUUCAUUGUCUCUAAUAGACCAUAAAGCUUAGUAUAUUGCUAACUAUAGAAAUGACCCCUCAGAGACUAGUUGGAUGUGUAUACUGAAGAAAGUAAACACAGUUUCUUAAAGGGCAAUACAAUGAGGUCAUACUUUGCAAAGAGAUUGUAAUAAAGAUAGUUUUAUACUACCUAUUUAUUUUCCUUUCCAAUAACAUUCUGUGAAAAAUGAACUCUACUUUUAAGUUAUAAGAUAGCUUUUGCAAAUGCUGAUUUUUAAAAAGGGUCCAAAUUACUGCCUACAAGGGAAGAAUUCAGCCUACAAGGGAAGAAUUCAGCCUACAAUGAUCAUUAAUACAUGAUUAAAACUAGAUCUUCUCAUAGCAAAGUAUAUUUUAUUUUCUGUUUGGAAAUAAAGCAUAGAAGAUUCUGUAGUUGCCUCACAUUGGCAAGAGACAAGAAGUUUUAAAUCUGUGGCCUCUCUUUUUAAGUGGUGAAAGAUGACAUGAGUGGGUAGAUUUUGGAGGGCUAACCCACUCUGAAGUGAUCCGAGUGUGUUGACAGAACCUUACUAAUUCACUUCCCUGAGAUCAGCAAUAAACAAGACUUCCUGUAGAGCACGUUUAACCACCACAAGAAAGGAUUCAUUUCUGGUUGGAAACCAUCAUAAAAUGUUUCUUGUCCAAGUUUAAAUAUAGUUCUUCAGGGUUUAAGGCCACAUUGCUAAAAUUUGGUCCCUGUGAAUUUUCCUGCAUCAGUAAAGAAGCUAUCUGUAUCCAUCAUUUUGAAGAUAGGAGUACCUUUAUUUGAUAUGUGGAACAGGAGCUGGAAAAUAGAUUCACACUUACCCCAGGCUUACCAAGCUGAUCGGAAAGCAGGAACCUACAGUUCAGCUAUGUUGAAGAAAUAUUUGUCAAGAUUGUAGUUCACUCAGACCAGAAGUUAUAUACAGGGAGAACAGCUAAAUCAGGAAGGAGCAUGUAAGGAUUGUAUAGUUUGAUAUGCUAGGUGUUAAAUACUCAAAAUCAGCCAAGUGGAGAAAGCAAAAUGGAAGCAUCACUGCAGUGCUGAGAGUUAUUAGAGCUGUAUUCAAACCCCAGUUUUGCCUUUUUCUGACUAUGAGACUGAGCAACUGUGUUUGUAUAAUUUGUUUAAAAUACGAGCUUUUCACACCUGUUAGCCCGGCACUUUCGGAGGCCAAGGCAGGUGGAUCAGAAGGUCAGGAGAUUGAGACCAUCCUGGCAAACAUAGUGAAACCUUGUUUCUACUAAAAAUACAAAAAUUAGCCGGGCAUGGUGGCGUCCGCCUGUAGUCACAGUUACUCAGUAGGCUGAAGCAGGAGUAUCACUUGAAACCAGGAGGCGGAGGUUGCAGUGAGCCAAGAUUGCACCACUGCACUCCAGCCUGGUCAACAGAGCGAGACUCUGUCUAUAAAUAAGUCAUCUCUUCAGAGGUUCUGUUCAGGAGUUCCCACUGCAGGCACUAAUUUCAGGCUUGGCCAUAUGACUGGCUUAGAUAAGUGAAUAUGAGUAAAGGUGACAAAAACCAAGUCCAAAAAGAAGAUUUAAGAAUCAAUCCAUGAUUUUUUUUUCACUGUUCUUUUCCCCCUGCUAUGAAAACAGCAUUUUGCAGAGAGGGUCAACUCCUUCAGCCUGGAUCUCAGAGUAAAGGUGCCUUGUGCAAAGUGCCAGGACCAAACCACAGACCUACAAAUGAUAUUUAUUAUGAGCUUGUCUUGUUGGCAACUGAAAUUUGGGGUUAUUUGUUACCACAGCAUAAUUUGCCAAAACUAAUACAAAAAGUUACAUAAAUCUCUCUAUGUCUCAGAUUCCUUAUCUGUGAAAUCAGAGUAAGGUUACUGUGAAGAGGAAAUAGGGUGACAUUUGGAUAUUUAGCAUUUCCUUAGCAAUAUCUAGCAAUUAGUGAUCAUUGUUAUUCAAUGGCCCUGGAUGAAAAUCUGUAAAACAAAGCAUAAGGAAUUCAGAAGAAGGACUAAACAGGAAUUGACAAAAACCACAAGGCUAAGGGUCUAUACAACUAGAUAUUGGAAUUUGGCUAGAGACAUGAGUAACAGAUUCUUGGGGGUGAGGUAGAGGUAGAUAGGAGCAGCAUAUAUGACAUUUGGUCAUGGCUGACACUUUCUGUGGCACAUGUUUUAUAAAGGCUUCCAAUGGAGACCAAAUUCAUCUGAGUACAUAGUCAGAUCCAAGCUGCAGUGGGGACAAAUACAUAGAUGGGUUAUUAGGAGUUACUGAAAUGAGGUUUGUAUGAAGCACAUUGUUCUAAAACAAACUCCCUUGUUUGUUCCUAAACAGAUUUUUUCCCACUGUUAGGUUAUAUGAGCACAUUAUGGAUAGGUCUAAAAUUUACAAUGACAAAAUUCUUUCCUUUUGGCUUGAGGUCUACAGUUUCUAUAAAAGCUAUAUCAUUUAUGUGGCUAAAAUUAUUUUUUAGACAGAGAAUGAACCCUAAACAGAUAUUAAAUCUGUUAAGACUGAAACUUAUAUUCUUACAAUGAUAGAGUUGGUUUUGAUGAGCAGUGAAAAAGCAUAAUGUUGCUACUGUUGCUGCAUUAGCCAUAUGAGUUUCUGCCCAUAGACUGGAGGAGGAAAUCGAUCAAUUAUUUGUCCUUAAUAUAGAACAUCAAGAGAAGUUCAACUGGGCCUAACUUGUUACGUCAAGGUAGAUGCACCCUACUACUAGAAUGGUUUGUGGAGCCAGACACCCAGUGCCAGGAGUCCAAACCACCAUUCAUUCAAUAUAUAGCAAUAUUGACAUCACAUUAGAAUCACCUGGGCAAUUAAAAUUUAGGCACUACUUAUAAUUAAAAACAAUCUGGAGGUGGAGAACAGCAAUCACAAUUUUAAAACAAAACUCAUCAGAUGAUUCCAGCAUGCAACCAAGUUUGAGGACCAUUGAGUAAGAGGUAGAGAAGUCCAAGGGUAAGGAGAGGCCUGUAGAGAGAAGUAGCUGACAAACCAGGAUAUACAGAGAAGUGGAAAUGGAGAAGGCUGACCAGUGCCUGUCAGACUUCAACAUGCAUAAAAAUCACCAAGGGAGCGGGAGGGAUCUUCUUAAAAUACAGAUUCGGAUUUAGUAGGACUGUGGGAGAAACUGAGAAUCUACAUUUCUAGCAAACUCCCAGGUAAUGCAAUGCUUCCAGUCCAACUGGACUACAGUUGGAGUAGCAAGAAACUAGAGUAGACAAGUAUGAGUGGUUCCAAGUGAAUCCUAGACUAGUAAUGCCUGAGUGCCCACUUUGAGUUUGUAUGGGCAAGCUAGAGUUAGUUAAAAAGACCAGAACAGAAUUGGAUAAAAAAAUGAUGGCAUGUGCCAGUAGGAAGACUAUAGUGAUUCCUCAUAUAUGACUGCUGCCAUAGCUUGAAUUUAUCCUGGCAGUCUUGUCAGAAGACAAAGAACUGGAGUUGAGUUGCCUUGUAUUAGAUGGCACACAUGGGGCUAGAAAUUAAAUGCAGAGAUAUGAGCCUUCUGAAGUAGUAAAAGAUAGGUGCUUGAUAAAGAUCUUUCUCUCAGAUAGAGAAAAAGUCUAUGCAGCAUAGUAGCAGUGAUAGGUGACAAUGGCACAAACCAAUUCAGAAAGCAAAAUUAAAUGGUUUUAAAUGGUAUUUUCAAAAUCCCUGAUGUUCCCAAGCCAUUUUAUUUAGCAUUCAGACAUGAUAAUAAAGUACAUUGAAUCACAUAGUGAUAAUAUUUCCUUUUUACCUUUCUUUCAAUCCUUCUGGUCAACUUAAAGGGAAACAAGUAUUAGCUAAGGAUUGUAUGUCUUUCGCACCUUCAGUGCCUGCUAAUUACCCACUUUAACAACAACAAAAAGAACAAUCCUCAAGCUCAAAACUCCAACGGGCAAAUGUUUUGGUUAUUUUUAUUCCAGUUUUAUUUGUCAAUGCUCUCUACUUCCAGCAAGUGAUACUUUUUUUCAUUUCUGUUAGUAAUAUAUACUUUUCCUUCAACAUAAAUUUAAGUAAACAAAGUUAAUUUCCUUAAGUAAAAUAUUAGUGCUACUACAAUCUUAUGCAGAUAUGACAAAAAUCAUAAAGGUAGUAUUUGAAUUGCUGAAGUUUGAAAAAUACAGCUUAGAACAAACCAGAAGCUAGAUUAAAAUCUGUGCUGUUUAGAAGUAUAGGCCCUCACAAAAUAUUUGCAUUGAUUUAUUUAGUGAAAACCACACAUAAUAUAGGCUUAUAAAGGCAAAAACAAUUUAAUCAACAAAUAUUUACUGAAACAAAAGAGCAAUUUUUAAAAUUCAAAAUGUUUUACUUGUUUUGUCUUUUUUGUUCUGCAUGUGAACAGUUCUGUGGGUUGACAUCAAAUAAUUUACUAAUGAAAAGAUUCAGCAAAUAUAAGAAGUGUUUUCCAACGUGUUUCUUUUAUUUUGAGAUCCUGUGUACAUUUAAAAAAGAAAAGUCAACUUACUUUUCUUUACUAUGUUAUUCAAAUUAGUGGUUUCUUUCUCUUAAUUCUUUAGCCUCUCAUCAUCAAGCAUUUUCAUAGCUGCUUUUCUGAUAUAUAUGAUAUAUACCUUUACCUAGUGACUUAGCAAGCCAUCUACCAUGUGGUUUUGAGAACUUGCCUUGUCAUGUUAAACAUAAAUGCAAAAAAUAAGUUACAGAUUCUUGGGUUAGAAAAUUCCAUAAGAAACGAUUUUCUGCUCCUAUAUACAUUCAAUCACUGGACUGUUUUUUUUUUUUUUUUUCCUUAACUUUUAGUUCCUAUUGUCACACAUAUUGUACCAAAAAAUUUACAUAAUUGUACAGUUUAUUCAACUCCCCAAUCUUUACCUCUGAAGAUUUGUUUUAUAUCAGAAGGAUUUUACCUAGAGUAAUUUUAACACAUGAAUCUUCCAGGCCCUACCUCUUCCAUCGGCUUAUUUGAUGGUAAUGGAGAUGUGGAUUAGUAAAAAGACAGAACUCUCACAAGAUGGGGACCUAUUUCCCUUGAAGAUGGGGGGAACUCAGCAGUCUGGACACAUUAGGCAGGCUAGUGGGGUGGGCUCACCACAACCAUUAGCAGGCAUCGAUUUGCCUGAGGAUGUUGUUGAUAGGAAUAGUUAAGAGUUGGAGUCAGAGUAUGUUAUUGCUAACAUAACAAAUCACAUGAACUUGUUGGCUUAAAACAAAGUGAUCUUUUUUUUUUUUUUGAGACGGAGUUUCGUUCUUGUUACCCAGGCUGGGGUGCAAUGGCGCGAUCUCGGCUCACCGCAACCUCCGCCUCCUGGGUUCAGGCAAUUCUCCUGCCUCAGCCUCCUGAGUGGUUGGGAUUACAGGCACGCGCCACCAUGCCCAGCUAAUUUUUUGUAUUUUUAGUAGAGACGGGGUUUCACCAUGUUGACCAGCAUGGUCUCGAUCUGUUGACCUCUUGAUCCACCUGCCCCGGCCUCCCAAAGUGCUGGGAUUACAGGCUUGAGCCACCGCGCCCGGCCCAAAUUGAUCUUAUAGUUCUGAAGUCAACAGUCUGAAAUGGGUCUGACAUGGGUAAAGCCAAGGUAUUUGGCAAUGCUCUGUUCCCCUGGAAGCUCUAGGAGGGAUUUUUUCCCUUUGCCUUUUCCAGCUUCUAGAUGCUGCCCUCAUUCUUUGGCUUAUGGCCCCCUUCCAUCUGCAAAGAGGGCAUUUUUUUUUUUCAGUCCAAUCUCUGUGUUCAUCCUCACAUUUCCUUCUCUGACUAUGCCUCUUCUGCCUCCUCAUUCAUGUUUACUGGCCUAUCUAGAUAAUCGUGGAUAAUCCCAAUUUAAGGUCAGCUGAUCAGUAACCUUAAUUUCAUCUGCAAACUUAAAUCCUCCCUCCCAUGUAACAUACAUAUUUACAGAUUCUAGGGUUUAGGAUAUGGAAAUCUUUGGGCUCCAUUAUUUUGCCCACCACAUAGAGAUAGAGAAAGAAGGGAAGGCAACACAGGAUUGGUCCUAGAGUUUAUUGUUUGUUUGUUUGUAACGAAGUCUUGCCCUCAGCCUGGAGUGCAGAGGCACAGUCUCGGCUCACUGCAACCUCUACCUCCCGGGUUCAAAUGAUUCUCCUGCCUCACCAGGUAACUGAGAUUACAGGCAUGCUGCUACCAUGCCCGGCUAGAGUUUAUUAUUUUCUAAGUUACAGUGAAUGGCCUCUCAUUGGUCAAGAGGGACCAUGGGCUGAAAGAGAAGGGAAAGCAGUGUUCACUCUAAGAUGCAUGGAUACAAAAGUAAUACUGCUUUUAUUCCAAUCAUGUAGGGACACAAAAUGGGGAAACACCUUGUUUCUACUUCUACAAGGAACCAGACUGCCAUCUCUAGUGCAUGCAUCACAGGUACCCAGUGGGGCAGUGGAACAGCAAAAGCUACACCAUGAUGGACCACAGGAGUAAUGACCACAUUAUUUUAAAUUAACCUGGCCAAGGGGAAGCACUUUCACAUUGUUGACCAGUAAAGAGUUUUUGGUUGUUUAGAGGAUGCAGAACACAUGAAUGUAAAUAUGGGAAAAACAGACACUGUGGACUACUAGAGAAUGGAAGGAGAGAAGUGGUUCUCUGCCUGCAUACUAUUUCAGAAGGGGAAAAGGAGGGAUGAAGAAAGAGAGAAAAGAAGAGGAAUGGAAAAUGAACAAGGCUUUGGGAACCCCAGCUUUCCUCUGCCUUAUCUGUUCUUUCGUCUCUUUCCCGCAAUUCUACAAUUCUGAGGCUGACAAACCCUUCCCCCCAUACCUCUCACAUCCAUCUCCCAACCCUGUGCGUGAUGAAGUCUCAUACCUCUGGCUAUACCCCCCAGCAUUCUAGCUAGCAUCAGAAAUUCUAAAAAACUUUCUAUUCUCAUCAUUAAAAUUGAACCAAGAGGCUAGUUAAAGAAAACACAAAAGGCUGUAAGGAAUUUCCAACACUGUCCAAUUCUUUACACCCACAUAUGAUGAGUUCACAGAUCCUUUUCUUCCUCCUAAGCUGCUGAGAUCUAUUUAAAUAUAUGCAGAAGAAUGCCAGCAGCCCUCCUUCAAACUGAAUUCAAAACUGCCCAUUACACGGCACCCCAUUAUGCAUUCCAUUCUUUGCAGGGUUUUAUUUUGAGGAUGUACAUUGCUGGGUAAAGAGAGGCCUUUAGGGUACAGUAUAUUUCAAAACACAAUUAAAAUAAACUCUUCAAGUGGAAACGUAAAAUGCAUUUGUAUUCUAUUAAAGCCUUUGGCUUAUCAACUGCAGAGUGCUCCUUUACAAGGUCAUUAGUAACCAGCCUCACACAGUGGCCAACAGGCAUCAGCUGCACAAAAACAGACAGGGGCCCCGAACACCACAAUCACUUCCUGUACCUGUUCUUGUUUGCUUGCUGAGCCCUCGAAAUUGGGAGUUGCUGAAAUACAUAAAAGCGUAACAGCUUGAGUCAAUAUUUGCCGACCUAAGCGAGUGAUUUUGUUUAGCGAGGUGACUGAACCCGUUGAAUAAAUACAUCUCCUUGGAGGUAGUAGGACAACCAAAGGCAGGCACUGGUGGGGAGGGCUAAGGGCAGAACUAGAACUGCCCUUGGUGUGGAACUGGAUGGAGGGGGCACUGAAUCUUCUGAGGGUCCAGCUCUGGUUCUUUCUCUGCAAUUCUCUACAUAUAGUUGCACUCUCACUUCUAGACUAAAGGUUUGCAUUGCCAUCACUUGGGAGGCUUGAUCAGAAGCUGAUGGCUGGGCCCAGAGCUCUGAUUCAGUAAAUAGGGGGUGGGCCUCAGAAUUUGCAUUUUGGUAAGUUCCUAGGUGAUGCCGAUGCUGCUGGUUUGAGGAUCACACUUUGCGAGCCACUGGUCUAGACUAGCUCUGUCCAAUACAAACAUAAUGUGAGCCACAUGUGAUUUGAAAUGUUGUAGUAGCCAUGAGAAAAGCAUAAAGAAACUAAAGAACUUAAGUUUAGCAAC
Callithrix jacchus (white-tufted-ear marmoset) is the source of this 25290-nucleotide non-coding RNA. Lineage: Eukaryota; Metazoa; Chordata; Mammalia; Primates; Cebidae. The record is from RefSeq and is a predicted model, not a curated record.